This 1372-nucleotide ribosomal RNA is filed under the name uncultured bacterium. RNAcentral describes it as "bacterial SSU rRNA". It matches the Rfam family "Bacterial small subunit ribosomal RNA", at positions 28 to 1381 of the family's 1533-position model. The record is from RNAcentral.
GAUGAACGCUGGCGGCGUGCCUAAUACAUGCAAGUCGAGCGAACGGACGAGAAGCUUGCUUCUCUGAUGUUAGCGGCGGACGGGUGAGUAACACGUGGAUAACCUACCUAUAAGACUGGGAUAACUUCGGGAAACCGGAGCUAAUACCGGAUAAUAUUUUGAACCGCAUGGUUCAAAAGUGAAAGACGGUCUUGCUGUCACUUAUAGAUGGAUCCGCGCUGCAUUAGCUAGUUGGUAAGGUAACGGCUUACCAAGGCAACGAUGCAUAGCCGACCUGAGAGGGUGAUCGGCCACACUGGAACUGAGACACGGUCCAGACUCCUACGGGAGGCAGCAGUAGGGAAUCUUCCGCAAUGGGCGAAAGCCUGACGGAGCAACGCCGCGUGAGUGAUGAAGGUCUUCGGAUCGUAAAACUCUGUUAUUAGGGAAGAACAUAUGUGUAAGUAACUGUGCACAUCUUGACGGUACCUAAUCAGAAAGCCACGGCUAACUACGUGCCAGCAGCCGCGGUAAUACGUAGGUGGCAAGCGUUAUCCGGAAUUAUUGGGCGUAAAGCGCGCGUAGGCGGUUUUUUAAGUCUGAUGUGAAAGCCCACGGCUCAACCGUGGAGGGUCAUUGGAAACUGGAAAACUUGAGUGCAGAAGAGGAAAGUGGAAUUCCAUGUGUAGCGGUGAAAUGCGCAGAGAUGUGGAGGAACACCAGUGGCGAAGGCGACUUUCUGGUCUGUAACUGACGCUGAUGUGCGAAAGCGUGGGGAUCAAACAGGAUUAGAUACCCUGGUAGUCCACGCCGUAAACGAUGAGUGCUAAGUGUUAGGGGGUUUCCGCCCCUUAGUGCUGCAGCUAACGCAUUAAGCACUCCGCCUGGGGAGUACGACCGCAAGGUUGAAACUCAAAGGAAUUGACGGGGGCCCGCACAAGCGGUGGAGCAUGUGGUUUAAUUCGAAGCAACGCGAAGAACCUUACCAAAUCUUGACAUCCUUUGACAACUCUAGAGAUAGAGCCUUCCCCUUCGGGGGACAAAGUGACAGGUGGUGCAUGGUUGUCGUCAGCUCGUGUCGUGAGAUGUUGGGUUAAGUCCCGCAACGAGCGCAACCCUUAAGCUUAGUUGCCAUCAUUAAGUUGGGCACUCUAAGUUGACUGCCGGUGACAAACCAGAGGAAGGUGGGGAUGACGUCAAAUCAUCAUGCCCCUUAUGAUUUGGGCUACACACGUGCUACAAUGGACAAUACAAAGGGCAGCGAAACCGCGAGGUCAAGCAAAUCCCAUAAAGUUGUUCUCAGUUCGGAUUGUAGUCUGCAACUCGACUACAUGAAGCUGGAAUCGCUAGUAAUCGUAGAUCAGCAUGCUACGGUGAAUACGUUCCCGGGUCU